GACGGAGGGUGCAAGCGUUGUUCGGAAUUACUGGGCGUAAAGGGCGCGUAGGCGGUCUGUUAAGUUCGGUGUGAAAGCCCCCGGCUCACCUGGGGAACUGCGUCUGAUACUGGGUGGCUUGAAUUCGGGAGAGGGAUGCGGAAUUCCAGGUGUAGCGGUGAAAUGCGUAGAUAUCUGGAGGAACACCGGUGGCGAAGGCGGCAUCCUGGACCGAGAUUGACGCUGAGGCGCGAAAGCCAGGGGAGCAAACGGG
Molecule: ribosomal RNA, 253 nt
Filed under: uncultured bacterium
Lineage: Bacteria
Description: partial 16S ribosomal RNA
Rfam family: Bacterial small subunit ribosomal RNA
Source: RNAcentral